This 1321-nucleotide ribosomal RNA is filed under the name Escherichia coli. RNAcentral's name for it is "partial 23S ribosomal RNA". It matches the Rfam family "Bacterial large subunit ribosomal RNA", at positions 165 to 1529 of the family's 2925-position model. The record is from RNAcentral. Lineage: Bacteria; Pseudomonadati; Pseudomonadota; Gammaproteobacteria; Enterobacterales; Enterobacteriaceae.
CAUAGGUUAAUGAGGCGAACCGGGGGAACUGAAACAUCUAAGUACCCCGAGGAAAAGAAAUCAACCGAGAUUCCCCCAGUAGCGGCGAGCGAACGGGGAGCAGCCCAGAGCCUGAAUCAGUAUGUGUGUUAGUGGAAGCGUCUGGAAAGGCGCGCGAUACAGGGUGACAGCCCCGUACACAAAAAUGCACAUGCUGUGAGCUCGAUGAGUAGGGCGGGACACGUGGUAUCCUGUCUGAAUAUGGGGGGACCAUCCUCCAAGGCUAAAUACUCCUGACUGACCGAUAGUGAACCAGUACCGUGAGGGAAAGGCGAAAAGAACCCCGGCGAGGGGAGUGAAAAAGAACCUGAAACCGUGUACGUACAAGCAGUGGGAGCACGCUUAGGCGUGUGACUGCGUACCUUUUGUAUAAUGGGUCAGCGACUUAUAUUCUGUAGCAAGGUUAACCGAAUAGGGGAGCCGAAGGGAAACCGAGUCUUAACUGGGCGUUAAGUUGCAGGGUAUAGACCCGAAACCCGGUGAUCUAGCCAUGGGCAGGUUGAAGGUUGGGUAACACUAACUGGAGGACCGAACCGACUAAUGUUGAAAAAUUAGCGGAUGACUUGUGGCUGGGGGUGAAAGGCCAAUCAAACCGGGAGAUAGCUGGUUCUCCCCGAAAGCUAUUUAGGUAGCGCCUCGUGAAUUCAUCUCCGGGGGUAGAGCACUGUUUCGGCAAGGGGGUCAUCCCGACUUACCAACCCGAUGCAAACUGCGAAUACCGGAGAAUGUUAUCACGGGAGACACACGGCGGGUGCUAACGUCCGUCGUGAAGAGGGAAACAACCCAGACCGCCAGCUAAGGUCCCAAAGUCAUGGUUAAGUGGGAAACGAUGUGGGAAGGCCCAGACAGCCAGGAUGUUGGCUUAGAAGCAGCCAUCAUUUAAAGAAAGCGUAAUAGCUCACUGGUCGAGUCGGCCUGCGCGGAAGAUGUAACGGGGCUAAACCAUGCACCGAAGCUGCGGCAGCGACGCUGAUGCGUUGUUGGGUAGGGGAGCGUUCUGUAAGCCUGUGAAGGUGUGCUGUGAGGCAUGCUGGAGGUAUCAGAAGUGCGAAUGCUGACAUAAGUAACGAUAAAGCGGGUGAAAAGCCCGCUCGCCGGAAGACCAAGGGUUCCUGUCCAACGUUAAUCGGGGCAGGGUGAGUCGACCCCUAAGGCGAGGCCGAAAGGCGUAGUCGAUGGGAAACAGGUUAAUAUUCCUGUACUUGGUGUUACUGCGAAGGGGGGACGGAGAAGGCUAUGUUGGCCGGGCGACGGUUGUCCCGGUUUAAGCGUGUAGGCUGGU